This is a non-coding RNA of Acipenser ruthenus (sterlet), 73 nucleotides long. NCBI's taxonomy places the organism in Eukaryota, Metazoa, Chordata, Actinopteri, Acipenseriformes, Acipenseridae. The record is from the annotation of a RefSeq genome assembly.
GUUUCCAUAGUGUAGUGGUUAUCACGUUCGGCUAACAACCGAAAAGUCCCAGGUUCGAAAACGGGUGGAAACA